UCGGCCCUAGCCAUUUCACACAUAGAUUCACUGGAUAAAAGUAGCUUGUAACUUCGUUUGACAGGUACAUAAUUUUAGAUCUGAUCAGUAAUCAUGUAUAGAUCAAACACUUUUAGAUAGAAUCAUAGAACAAUCAAAUAUUAACCAACACCGACACGUAUAAAAUGUGCAUAUGAUAUAUGUGCAUCGGUGGUCCUUGGUGGGUCACGUCCUUUAUUGUGGUGCAGGGUUUUCUAAGGUGGGGAUUGGAUUCAGAAAUUUGAUAGAAUUAGAAAGAAUCAUAGUUUCCAUUAAAUUCCACUGUUAUUCAAUUGUUGAUUUCAUCGAUUCUUUUAAAUUUUUUUGUUAUUGGAUUAAGCAUUUCAAAUCAUUCUUUUAAUUACUUUAAAUUAUGUUAUUCAAUAUUUAAUAGAUUUUGUAGUAGCGAUAUUUGAUAAGAAUUUAAUGGAAAAUGUCAUCUAUAAAUGUAAAAGGUCAAUUCUUUGCUCUUAUGCAGAGAUUUGUAAUUAAUCGUAGGAAAACACAAACAAUAGCAUUUUUCUACUUCUCAUUUUUCCAGAAGUACGUAAAGAAUGAAGAGAUUUUUGUGGAUGAUAAUUAAUGAGUUAUCGGCAAAUAUAAAGAACAACAAUUAACAAAUAUAAAGUCAAUGUUGUCUUGUUGCUGAAGAAACCCAGUGUCGGUUAACUAAACCAAAAUGCCUUCUGAAAUUUUCGAUUGUGUGCUUUCGCAUUACGAACACAAGAGCAAGAUAAAGAAAAUGCAAAUACUUGGAAAAAAACUAUGGCAGAACUUAGAAGAUUUGUGGAGAAAUGCUAUGGGUUUAGAUGAUCCAUAUAUUUUAUUUAUUAGUAUUAUGAUUUUAAUAAAAUUGCUACAAUCCAUAAACUAUGUAGUACUAAUUACUAUUUUUCUUUCAGUUUUAAGAAUAAAAUAAUUUUUGUUACCUUUUUAAAUAUACAAUGAUUCGAAAAUUCAUAGAAUUUAGAGGAAUUAAUAUUCUAUCAAAUUUAUGUAUAUCCUUUUAAAACCAAUAAUAGAAGUAAGCAUAGGAAUUAGAUAAAUGCAUUAUAAUCUCAUCGAAUCUUUGAAAAUACAGCAAAAGUUUACCAUUGUGACACGUCCCAACUCUCUACCCAAUUAUUCUUCUUUCUCUAUUCCUUUCCGUGAGAUUUUGAAUAUCUUCUACACAAAAAGCCCCACCAGAUUGCAAAGACCAAAACUAAAGUCUCUAUCAACAAAAGAAAAUUCCCGUUGUUGUCUGAAAGCUUACCACGCGUUGCCGAAUGAAUGGGUUAGUCUAAAAGCAAGCAAAAACAAAUAUGUACAUGCUUUUCAUUUAUUGAAUUCUGAACUCAUUCCAUCCAGACGGUGACACAUAACCCAUCUUCCUUUUUUGUUUGUCCAUUACAAACAACUAAAAAA
RNAcentral lists this long non-coding RNA (1425 nucleotides) under Brassica napus (rape). Its description in RNAcentral is "long non-coding RNA (BNAP_LNC016824)". The record is from RNAcentral. Lineage: Eukaryota; Viridiplantae; Streptophyta; Magnoliopsida; Brassicales; Brassicaceae.